UCCAGGGUAGCCUAGUGGACAUGGCACCUGCCCGGUAAGCAGAAGGUUGUGGGUUCAAUUCCCUCCCCUGGAC
RNAcentral lists this transfer RNA (73 nucleotides) under Cordylochernes scorpioides. RNAcentral's name for it is "tRNA-Thr". It matches the Rfam family "tRNA". Rfam says of the family: Transfer RNA (tRNA) molecules are approximately 80 nucleotides in length. The record is from RNAcentral. Lineage: Eukaryota; Metazoa; Arthropoda; Arachnida; Pseudoscorpiones; Chernetidae.